RNAcentral lists this unclassified non-coding RNA (240 nucleotides) under soil metagenome. Its description in RNAcentral is "partial contains 5.8S ribosomal RNA, internal transcribed spacer 2, and large subunit ribosomal RNA". The record is from RNAcentral.
AACAUCGCGCACCUGCGGGAACCUGCGGAGGGAUCAUUACAGAGUUGCAAAACUCCCUAAACCAUUGUGAACGUUACCUAAACCGUUGCUUCGGCGGGCGGCCCGGGUCCUUCCCGGCGCCCCUCGGCCCUCGCGGGCGCCCGCCGGAGGUAGACCAAACUAUUGCAUUGUAUGGCCUCUCUGAGUCUUCUGUACUGAAUAAGUCAAAACUUUUAACAACGGAUCUCAGAUCGGAAGAGC